UGGGGAAUAUUGCACAAUGGGCGAAAGCCUGAUGCAGCAACGCCGCGUGAGUGAUGAAGGCCUUCGGGUUGUAAAGCUCUGUCUUCUGGGACGAUAAUGACGGUACCAGAGGAGGAAGCCACGGCUAACUCCGUGCCAGCAGCCGCGGUAAUACGGAGGGUGCAAGCGUUAUCCGGAUUUAUUGGGUUUAAAGGGUCCGUAGGCGGACUUAUAAGUCAGUGGUGAAAGCCUGUCGCUUAACGAUAGAACUGCCAUUGAUACUGUAAGUCUUGAGUAUAUUUGAGGUAGCUGGAAUAAGUAGUGUAGCGGUGAAAUGCAUAGAUAGUACUUAGAACACCAAUUGCGAAGGCAGGUUACCAAGAUAUAACUGACGCUGAGGGACGAAAGCGUGGGGAGCGAACA
Molecule: ribosomal RNA, 402 nt
Filed under: uncultured bacterium
Lineage: Bacteria
Description: bacterial SSU rRNA
Rfam family: Bacterial small subunit ribosomal RNA
Source: RNAcentral